AAUAUUUUGGUUUUUUUUU
This 19-nucleotide small RNA is filed under the name Arabidopsis thaliana (thale cress). RNAcentral describes it as "ATSL116520". The record is from RNAcentral. Lineage: Eukaryota; Viridiplantae; Streptophyta; Magnoliopsida; Brassicales; Brassicaceae.